GGGAUAAGCCACCGAAAGGUGGUCUAAUACCUUAUAGUAUCCAUCUCGUAUGGAUUAAAGCUUUAUGCGCUUUGGGAGGGGCCUGCGUUUGAUUAGCUAGUUGGUGAGGUAAAAGCUCACCAAGGCGACGAUCAAUAGCUGGUUUGAGAGGAUGACCAGCCACACUGGGACUGAGAUACGGCCCAGACUCCUACGGGAGGCAGCAGUAAGGAAUCUUCCACAAUGGGGCAACCCUGAUGGAGCAAUACCGCGUGCAGGAUGAAGCGUUUCGGCGUGUAAACUGCUUUUAUCACCGAAGAUUAUGACUGUAGGUGAAGAAUAAGGACCGGCUAACUACGUG
Molecule: ribosomal RNA, 340 nt
Filed under: uncultured bacterium
Lineage: Bacteria
Description: bacterial SSU rRNA
Rfam family: Bacterial small subunit ribosomal RNA
Source: RNAcentral